GACGAACGCUGGCGGCGUGCUUAACACAUGCAAGUCGAGCGGUAAGGCCCUUUCGGGGGUACGACGAGCGGCGAACGGGUGAGUAACACGUGGGUGACCUGCCCUCAGCUCUGGGAGUAAGCCUGGGAAACCGGGUACUAAUACCGGAUAUGACUCCAUGACGCAUGUUGUGGGGUGGAAAGCCUUGUGCGGCUGAGGAUGGGCCCGCGGCCUAUCAGCUUGUUGGUGGGGUGAUGGCCUACCAAGGCGACGACGGGUAGCCGGCCUGAGAGGGCGACCGGCCACACUGGGACUGAGACACGGCCCAGACUCCUACGGGAGGCAGCAGUGGGGAAUCUUGCGCAAUGGGCGAAAGCCUGACGCAGCGACGCCGCGUGAGGGAUGAC
This 386-nucleotide ribosomal RNA is filed under the name uncultured bacterium. Its description in RNAcentral is "bacterial SSU rRNA". It matches the Rfam family "Bacterial small subunit ribosomal RNA", at positions 28 to 412 of the family's 1533-position model. The record is from RNAcentral.